RNA transcript from Nicotiana attenuata, 987 nucleotides. RefSeq lists it as uncharacterized. The record is from RefSeq and is a predicted model, not a curated record. Lineage: Eukaryota; Viridiplantae; Streptophyta; Magnoliopsida; Solanales; Solanaceae. The transcript is spliced from 6 exons.
UUUUUUUAAAAAGUAAAGAAACUCUCUGUAUUCUCUAAACACAAAUCGCGCGCGCAUCAGCUCUGCCCUAGUAUUCCGCCGAGCUCUGACCUUGUCCUUUAUCUGUAUUUUCUCAAAACAUAAGUUGUAAAUCUGGUUGUGUGUGAAUCUGCCCAAGUUUCCAUCUCGCUCGUUUGAGAAUCUGUGAACUGUACAUAAUCGCGGUAUGUGUCCGUUGGGAGUAUCAUCGUGGAAUGAUAUUAAGCAAGAAAAGUUAAAUCAUAUGUGGGCGGCUAUUGAGGAUAAAUUUGAGAGUGUUGACAUGAAUGAUUAUCGUAAUCAUAUCUUGGAUGGAUGAAAGAGUUAUGGAAUAAAUGGAGAAGACACUUGCAUGCAAAAUAUGUGAAGGAUAAGCCAAUCCAACAGGCUCUUAAGAAUAUUCCAAAGGGAGUAGAUAAGAAAGAAUGGGAGUGCUUAGUAAAGGAACAUUUUUCAUCAGAAAGUUUUCAGGCAAGAAGCAAUAGGAAUGCAGCAAACCGAGCUAAGUUGAAGAUGCUUCAUGAUAUUGGUAGCAAACCUAUUCGAGAGAUUAUUUAUCAAAAGGGUGGGGAAAAAUGUUGUGGACCUCAUACUCGUAGCUAUGUAUUUGGCUUUGGGAGUGGAGUAAAGGCGAAAGACUUGAAAGGUGGCACUUCUUCAAAGGUUGAAUUACUGUCCGCGCUACGUUCAACUCGAGAGGAAAACAAAUCUUUGAAUAAGGAAAAUAAUUCAUUACAGGACCGCUUGUCUACCUUAGAAGAUGAGAUGAAAGAAAUGAAGAAAAUAAGGGAAUCAUUCGCUGCUCAACAAUCACAUGUCUCGCCUACGAUAUCGCCCGUUUCAACUGAAUGACCACUAUUUUUUUGUCUGCUGGCCAAGUUUUGAAGAUUGAAGCUACAAGAAUGCAAGUUUGGAAGACAUACAAGCUCAUUAUUACUUUGCUAGGAAUAUUAUGUAAAACUUGAUAUU